RNAcentral lists this ribosomal RNA (464 nucleotides) under uncultured bacterium. RNAcentral's name for it is "partial 16S ribosomal RNA". It matches the Rfam family "Bacterial small subunit ribosomal RNA", at positions 339 to 795 of the family's 1533-position model. The record is from RNAcentral.
CUACGGGGGGCAGCAGUGGGGAAUUUUUCGCAAUGGGGGAAACCCUGACGAAGCAACGCCGCGUGGAGGAUGAAGGCCUUCGGGUCGUAAACUCCUGUCGAUCGGGACGAAAGCAUCUCGGCCUAAUACGUCGGGGUGUUGACUGUACCGGUGGAGGAAGCUCCGGCUAACUCUGUGCCAGCAGCCGCGGUAAUACAGGGGGAGCAAGCGUUGUUCGGAAUGACUGGGCGUAAAGGGCGCGUAGGCGGUCUUGUAAGUCUUGUGUGAAAUCCCUCGGCUCAACUGGGGAACUGCACAGGAACUGCUUGGCUUGAGUUCGGGAGAGGGAAGCGGAAUUCCGGGUGUAGCGGUGAAAUGCGCAGAUAUCCGGAGGAACACCGGUGGCGAAGGCGGCUUCCUGGACCGAAACUGACGCUGAGGCGCGAAAGCUAGGGGAGCAAACGGGAUUAGAUACCCCCGUAGUC